This 354-nucleotide unclassified non-coding RNA is filed under the name fungal sp. RNAcentral's name for it is "partial internal transcribed spacer region". The stretch from base 1 to 46 matches the Rfam family "Eukaryotic small subunit ribosomal RNA", at positions 1786 to 1831 of the family's 1831-position model. The record is from RNAcentral. Lineage: Eukaryota; Fungi.
AAGUCGUAACAAGGUAACCGUAGGUGAACCUGCGGUUGGAUCAUUACCAAUUCUUUCUUUUUUCGCGGAAGACUUUGUACUCUUAACUUGGGUCUCAAAAUCGACAUCCUUUGGGAGGUUCGAGAUUGAAUGCACUGAGGAGGGAGGAAGAGUCUUUGCGAAGGAAGUGGAAACCAACUUGUGAACCUGUAAUUGUGCAUUGGCGGCUGUUCAGUGCCUUGUGCUGAACAUGCAUUCAGUUGCGAAGGCUGUCAAUAUAUGUUGUAAACAUUUCUACUUCUAUUUAUUUCCUUGUAUUGUUUCUUUUGAUUAAGAAACCAAGAACAACUAUAAACAAUGGAUCUCUUGGCUCUC